ACAAUGGCAAGUUUCAAGCUCAAAUUCAUGGAAGCAGUAUUUUCUCAUAGAAGUAAAAGGACAUCCCCAAAAAUGAACAAAAUUACACUGGGGACUGUCAAAGGAAUUCACAUCAGCAACAGUUAGGAAACAGACAGGCAACAAUCAGAGAUCAUUUUAUUUGCUAUACAUUUAUCGAUCGAUUCCCUCAAUCUUGUCUUCAACUUCUGAGUAUAAUUGCUUGAGUUUCUCAAUGUUCUCUUCAGAAGUUUCCCAGUAUCCACGCCCGUUGGCUUCCAAGAAUGUCUGAAGCAACUUCCUGAAAGAAUUUGGGUUUGUGUUCAUGAGCCUGUUCAACAUCUCUUCGUCUUGAAUGAAGGUUGUGUUGGCUUCUUCGUACACCCAAUUAUCAACUUGUCCUGAAGUUGCACUCCACCCCACUGUGUUAGUUAAUCGUUUCUCAAUCUCACGAACACCCUCGUAGCCAGUUGAAAGCAUGCCUUCAUACCACUUUGGGUUCAACAACUUUGUCCUCAGAUCUUGAAUGAAGGUUGUGUUGGCUUCUUCAUAUACCCAAUUAUCAACUUGGCCUGAAGUUGCACUCCACCCCACUGUGUUAGUUAAUCGUUUCUCAAUCUCACGAACUCCCUCGUAGCCAGUGGAUAGCAUGCCUUCAUACCACUUU
This 664-nucleotide long non-coding RNA is filed under the name Nicotiana benthamiana. RNAcentral describes it as "long non-coding RNA (NBEN_LNC037018)". Lineage: Eukaryota; Viridiplantae; Streptophyta; Magnoliopsida; Solanales; Solanaceae. The record is from RNAcentral.